Molecule: non-coding RNA, 373 nt
Organism: Meleagris gallopavo (turkey)
Lineage: Eukaryota; Metazoa; Chordata; Aves; Galliformes; Phasianidae
Source: RefSeq, a predicted model, not a curated record
CCAGGAGCACCGACAGCAUCAAGCAGCGGCCGUGGAGGUCGGACGGGGAGGGCUGCAGCGGGAAGGGCAGCACUGAGAGCAGUGGGGAGAGCCACCGGGCAGAGGCAGAGGGGAAGGAGGAUGACGUGAGCAGCAUCAUGAGGAAGUACCUGGGAAAAGAGUGAGUUUCCAGAAGCUGAGUCUUUAUCUGAAGUUUUAUAAUUCCAUUCAUAACUGAAGCUGGACACAUCUGCAGUUUCAUGACUGUUGCCUGCUGGGACAUCUUCUGGCCACACCCCACUGCCAUGAAGGACAGCAUACAGCACCUGUUGCAAUGGGAGGCUGUAUUCCCAUGUCUGCUUGGUUUUUACACAAUAAAAUUUUUGCUUCUUCA